Ictidomys tridecemlineatus (thirteen-lined ground squirrel) is the source of this 2228-nucleotide long non-coding RNA. RefSeq lists it as uncharacterized. The record is from RefSeq and is a predicted model, not a curated record. Lineage: Eukaryota; Metazoa; Chordata; Mammalia; Rodentia; Sciuridae.
AUUUGCAUCCUUUUACACGUUUCCAAGAAAGUGAUGUAGUAGUUGCACGAUCAUCUGGUUGCUGUAAUAGUGUACCCUAAAAAGAAACAAUAAAGGCUGAGAGGACUAAGAUUUUGCAAGCUGCUUUUCAUAAUUAUUUGAAGUAAUACAGCCAAACCAAAAAAACAAAAAGAAAAACCAUAUUUUAGAAGGUCUGUUAUAUAUCCUUUUUAAAGCAACUCACCAGCAUCCAGAAGUUUCCUCACACGCAAAUAACUGAUGGUAAGCCUCAUAACAGAAGCCUUAUCAAGAUGUGAGCUCACGUUAUGGGGAAGUGGCAACUGAUGAGCAAGUUCAUAAAAAACUUCAGACUCUUUGCUUCGUCGAGAUCUGGCUGCAUCUCUAGACUUUUCUUUUCGACGUUCAGAACUUAUCCUACUUAACAACAAAAACAACAAAAAAGAGACAAAAAAUGUAUAUAAGCUAAUAUGCCUUAGCUUGAAUAAAAUUAAUUUUACAUUUUUCUUACCACAGGAUUAGAAGAUGCCAUGUAAUUAAAUUGUAAGAGAUUUGUCUAGUAGAUUAAUGCAUUCUUAUACAAGAUGACUCUACAUAUUUUGGAUCACUGCAAACAAUAAGGAACUCUCACAAGACCAAGAUUAAGGUUUAAACUUUGCCAAAGCAGGUGUUUCCUCUUUAGCAUCUCAAAUUGGAGAUGUUUUUAUUUUAGCUAAAAACUUCAAGAGACCUACAUAUCUAAGUGUGUACUUAAUAGUCUUUCACAUGUAGUCUAAACAAAAGAAACCAUGAUUAAUUCUGGAAAAACAACCUAAAGUUGUACAUAAGAACUUGAGAACAGGAGUUGUUAAGUAGAUACACCGAUUUUUAAUGUAACUUUCUUUUGACCCCAAUAUUGUUCUACUUUUCUACCCUACCUACCAAAUGAGGAACACCAACAGUAAGCUAUAGAAAUUCAUAUUAAGCUAUAAUAAGCUACUUUUUUCAGGUUGCCUACUUCCUUAGCAGCCUUUUAUCUAUUACUGGAGUAAUGGGUACAAAAUAAAUGCAGGAAAACAAAGUACAUGUAUAAAAGCAUGAUUUGGUGUGAACAUACUCCAUAUACAAAGAUAUGAAAAAUUGUAUUCUAUAUGUGUAAUAAGAAUUGUAAUGCAUUCUUGCUGUCGUGCAUUUAAAAAAAUAAAUAAAACAAAAAAAUGCAGGAGGAUGGAGGAAAAUAAAGAUGUGGCACAAUACCAAAAUUUAAAGGGACAGGUUGGUGAAGAUAAUAAAGGUGUUAAUAUAAUGAUAAAUCUUUAGGGAAUUCUUCCAAGAAUAAAUUCAAAAAGAUCACAUAAAUUGACUUCCUUUGCUUAACUACUAAGCUCCAUCUUAUUGAUGGAGUUGAAGUUAAGUCUAAAUCUGGUUCUUUUUUUGGCAGCUUCUUUAAUGGCUAUUGUUAUUAAAGCCUACUAUGUACAAAACACUGCCCUGUAAUAGGUGCCUAAUAGAUUAAAUAGUAUCCGUAUUUUACAAAUGAGGAAACAGAUUCUGCAGGUUAAAAUCAACAAUUCUGUAGCAAAUAAUUUAAAAGCAGGUAUUUUAAAAGCAAAUCUGUUCUUCCACAAUUUUCUCUUAAUAUAAAAUGCUGCCUGUUUUAAAUACUCAGCUGAUCUUCUUUGCCCUUCAACUCAAUCCUGUUAGUCAAUUAUUUACUAAAUGUUGAAAACAGCCCUUGAAAUUUACUGGGCAUUCAGCAGUGUAACAGAGGCUUAUUUCACUUAAUCCUCCUCAUAACCUAUGAAUGAAGUACAUAAUUGUCUCCACCUCAAGUCUCUCUUCCCUUUAAAAGAUCUUCAAAGCUAAAAGGUACAAUCAUAAAAACAACUUCUCAAGUAACAAGCAGUUUUCUCAGUUAUGCUGUACAAUAUGAAAAUACCUAACAGUUUUAUUUUGACAAUAGAGAUACUAUCGUUUAUAAGUUUGUGUUUAUGUGACUAUUAUGAUUUAAUAAAAAUGUAAACAUUGAUUAUAGUAACUGAUAAAAAUUUUCAGUUCAAGCUAUCAUUUGUAACUAAUUAUCUUUAUGAAGCAUGGUUUUCUCAGUUCUCUACAAUAAAAAUUAGACCCUGAGACUCCAUGAAAAUGCAACAAUGUCAACAGCCUGCUACUGUUAUUUUUUAGGUGCAUUAGAACUGCUUCAUUGUUCUCACUGACUAAAUGUUUUCAAAUAAAUUUUAAAAUAAAUUGUA